This 253-nucleotide ribosomal RNA is filed under the name uncultured bacterium. RNAcentral's name for it is "partial 16S ribosomal RNA". It matches the Rfam family "Bacterial small subunit ribosomal RNA", at positions 524 to 776 of the family's 1533-position model. The record is from RNAcentral.
UACGGGGGGGGCAAGCGUUGUUCGGAAUUACUGGGCGUAAAGGGCUCGUAGGCGGCCAACUAAGUCAGACGUGAAAUCCCCAGGCUCAACCUGGGAACUGCGUCUGAUACUGGAUGGCUUGAAUCCGGGAGAGGGAUGCAGAAUUCCAGGUGUAGCGGUGAAAUGCGCAGAUAUCAGGAGGAACACCGGUGGCGAAGGCGGUUCUCUGGGCCUGUACUGACGCUGAGGAACGAAAGCGUGGGGAGCGAACAGG